This 496-nucleotide ribosomal RNA is filed under the name uncultured soil bacterium. RNAcentral's name for it is "bacterial SSU rRNA". It matches the Rfam family "Bacterial small subunit ribosomal RNA", at positions 26 to 517 of the family's 1533-position model. The record is from RNAcentral.
AGAAUGAACGCUGGCGGCGCGCCUAAUACAUGCAAGUCGAGCGAGAAGACGUAGCAAUACGUUUGUAAAGCGGCGAACGGGUGAGGAAUACAUGGGUAACCUACCCUCGAGUGGGGAAUAACUAGCCGAAAGGUUAGCUAAUACCGCGUACGCUUCUUGGACUUCGGUUCAGGGAGGAAAGCGAUGCCAAGGGUAUCGCGCUCUUGGAUGGGCUCAUGUCCUAUCAGCUUGUUGGUGAGGUAACGGCUCACCAAGGCUUCGACGGGUAGCUGGUCUGAGAGGACGAUCAGCCACACUGGCACUGCGACACGGGCCAGACUCCUACGGGAGGCAGCAGUAAGGAAUAUUGCGCAAUGGGCGAAAGCCUGACGCAGCGACGCCGCGUGGGGGAUGAAGGUCUUCGGAUUGUAAACCCCUUUCGGAGGAAGAUGGAAUGGGUAACCCAUUCGGACGGUACCUCCAGAAGCAAGCCACGGCUAACUCGUGCCAGCAGCCG